This 481-nucleotide ribosomal RNA is filed under the name uncultured bacterium. Its description in RNAcentral is "bacterial SSU rRNA". It matches the Rfam family "Bacterial small subunit ribosomal RNA", at positions 384 to 858 of the family's 1533-position model. The record is from RNAcentral.
UGAUCCAGCAAUGCCGCGUGUGUGAAGAAGGCCUUCGGGUUGUAAAGCACUUUUGUCCGGAAAGAAAUGGCUCUGGUUAAUACCCGGGGUCGAUGACGGUACCGGAAGAAUAAGCACCGGCUAACUACGUGCCAGCAGCCGCGGUAAUACGUAGGGUGCGAGCGUUAAUCGGAAUUACUGGGCGUAAAGCGUGCGCAGGCGGUUUUGUAAGACAGGCGUGAAAUCCCCGAGCUCAACUUGGGAAUGGCGCUUGUGACUGCAAGGCUAGAGUAUGUCAGAGGGGGGUAGAAUUCCACGUGUAGCAGUGAAAUGCGUAGAGAUGUGGAGGAAUACCGAUGGCGAAGGCAGCCCCCUGGGACGUCACUGACGCUCAUGCACGAAAGCGUGGGGAGCAAACAGGAUUAGAUACCCUGGUAGUCCACGCCCUAAACGAUGUCAACUAGUUGUUGGGGAUUCAUUUCUUCAGUAACGUAGCUAACGC